GGACGAACGCUGGCGGCGUGCCUAAUACAUGCAAGUCGAACGGUCUUUCUAUGGAAGCUUGCUUCCACUGAGAAGAUAGUGGCGAACGGGUGAGUAACACGUGGGUAACCUGCCCAUAAGAGGGGGAUAACAUCCGGAAACGGGUGCUAAUACCGCAUAGUUUUCUUGAUUGCAUGAUUGAGAAAGGAAAGACGGCCUUUGUGCUGUCGCUUAUGGAUGGACCCGCGGCGUAUUAGUUAGUUGGUGAGGUAACGGCUCACCAAGACGAUGAUACGUAGCCGACCUGAGAGGGUGAUCGGCCACAUUGGGACUGAGACACGGCCCAAACUCCUACGGGAGGCAGCAGUAGGGAAUCUUCCGCAAUGGACGAAAGUCUGACGGAGCAACGCCGCGUGGGUGAAGAAAGGUUUUCGGAUCGUAAAACUCUGUUGUCAGAGAAGAACAAGUUGGAGAGUAACUGCUCCAGCCUUGACGGUAUCUGACCAGAAAGCCACGGCUAACUACGUGCCAGCCGCAGC
This 518-nucleotide ribosomal RNA is filed under the name uncultured bacterium. Its description in RNAcentral is "bacterial SSU rRNA". It matches the Rfam family "Bacterial small subunit ribosomal RNA", at positions 27 to 518 of the family's 1533-position model. The record is from RNAcentral.